CCUACGGGAGGCAGCAGUGGGGAAUAUUGGACAAUGGGCGCAAGCCUGAUCCAGCAAUGCCGCGUGAGUGAUGAAGGCCUUAGGGUCGUAAAGCUCUUUUACCAGGGAUGAUAAUGACAGUACCUGGAGAAUAAGCUCCGGCUAACUCCGUGCCAGCAGCCGCGGUAAUACGGAGGGAGCUAGCGUUGUUCGGAAUUACUGGGCGUAAAGCGUACGUAGGCGGUUAUUCAAGUCAGAGGUGAAAGCCCGGGGCUCAACCCCGGAACGGCCUUUGAAACUAGGUAGCUAGAAUCUUGGAGAGGUCAGUGGAAUUCCGAGUGUAGAGGUGAAAUUCGUAGAUAUUCGGAAGAACACCAGUGGCGAAGGCGACUGACUGGACAAGUAUUGACGCUGAGGUACGAAAGCGUGGGGAGCAAACAGGAUUAGAUACCCUGGUAGUCCACGCCGUAAACGAUGAUAACUAGCUGUUCGGGCACUUGGUGCUUGAGUGGCGCAGCUAACGCAUUAAGUUAUCCGCCUGGGGAGUACGGUCGCAAGNUUAAAACUUAAAGGAAUUGACGG
This 561-nucleotide ribosomal RNA is filed under the name uncultured bacterium. RNAcentral describes it as "bacterial SSU rRNA". It matches the Rfam family "Bacterial small subunit ribosomal RNA", at positions 338 to 916 of the family's 1533-position model. The record is from RNAcentral.